GGGGCGUAUACAGGACUUCGUACGGGUGGUUGAUCGGCGUCGGAAGUGUAAUCUGGGGCCUUAACCCCGAGUGUUGCUUUCGAUACGGGUGAGCUCGUGGAAGGUAGGGGAGAAUGUAUUUCCUGGUUGAGCGGUGGAUUGAGCAGAUAUCAGGAAGAAACACCAGUGGCGAAGGCGGUUCUCUGGUCCUUUUCUGACGCUGAGGAGCGAAAGCGUGGGGAGCGAACAGGCUUAGAUACCUUGGUAGUCCACGCUGUAAACGGUGGGUACUAGGUGUGGGGUCCAUUCCACGGGUUCCGCGCCGUAGCUAACGCUUUAAGUACCCCGCGUGGGGAGUACGGCCGCAAGGAUAAAACUCAAAGUAAUUGACGGGGCCCCGCACAAGCGGCGGAGCAUGCGGAUUAAUUUGAUGCAACGCGUAGAACCUUACCUGGGUUUGACAUGGAUCGGGAGUGCUCAGAGAUGGGUGUGCCUCUUUUGGGGUCGGUUCACAGGUGGUGCAUGGCUGUCGUCAGCUCGUGUCGUGAGAUGUUGGGUUAAGUCCCGCAACGAGCGCAACCCUUGUUCACUGUUGCCAGCACGUUAUGGUGGGGACUCAGUGGAGACCGCCGGGGUCAACUCGGAGGAAGGUGGGGAUGACGUCAAGUCAUCAUGCCCCUUAUGUCCAGGGCUUCACGCAUGCUACAAUGGCUGGUACAGAGAGUGGCGAGCCUGUGAGGGUGAGCGAAUCUCGGAAAGCCGGUCUCAGUUCGGAUUGGGGUCUGCAACUCGACCUCAUGAAGUCGGAGUCGCUAGUAAUCGCAGAUCAGCAACGCUGCGGUGAAUACGUUCCCGGGGCUUGUACACACCGCCCGUCAAGUCAUGAAAGUUGGUAACACCCGAAGCCGGUGGCCUAACCGUGUGGGGAGCCGUCGAAGGGUGGAACCUGGAAUUU
This 934-nucleotide ribosomal RNA is filed under the name uncultured bacterium. RNAcentral describes it as "bacterial SSU rRNA". It matches the Rfam family "Bacterial small subunit ribosomal RNA", at positions 547 to 1477 of the family's 1533-position model. The record is from RNAcentral.